RNAcentral lists this transfer RNA (69 nucleotides) under Lepisosteus oculatus (spotted gar). It matches the Rfam family "tRNA". Rfam says of the family: Transfer RNA (tRNA) molecules are approximately 80 nucleotides in length. The record is from Rfam by way of RNAcentral. Lineage: Eukaryota; Metazoa; Chordata; Actinopteri; Semionotiformes; Lepisosteidae.
GCCCGGCUAGCUCAGUCCGUAGAGCAUGAGACUCUUAAUCACAGAGUCAUGGGUUUGAGCCCCAUGGCA